CUUCCAUCUGGAAGAAUCUGGAGGACAGGUGCUGCAUGGCUGUCGUCAGCUCGUGUCGGUGAGAUGUUGGGUUAAGUCCCGCAACGAGCGCAACCCUUGCCUUUAGUUGCCAGCAGUUCGGCUGGGCACUCUAAAGGGACUGCCGGUGUUAAACCGGAGGAAGGUGGGGAUGACGUCAAGUCCUCAUGGCCUUUAUGACCAGGGCUACACACGUACUACAAUGGCCGAUACAAAGGGCAGCGACACUGCGAGGUGAAGCCAAUCCCGUAAAAUCGGUCUCAGUCCGGAUUGGAGUCUGCAACUCGACUCCAUGAAGUUGGAAUCGCUAGUAAUCGUGGAUCAGCAUGCCACGGUGAAUACGUUCCCGGGCCUU
RNAcentral lists this ribosomal RNA (373 nucleotides) under uncultured Desulfobulbus sp. Its description in RNAcentral is "bacterial SSU rRNA". It matches the Rfam family "Bacterial small subunit ribosomal RNA", at positions 1014 to 1382 of the family's 1533-position model. Lineage: Bacteria; Pseudomonadati; Thermodesulfobacteriota; Desulfobulbia; Desulfobulbales; Desulfobulbaceae. The record is from RNAcentral.